GUAGGGUGCGAGGCGUUGUCCGGAAUUUAUUGGGCGUAAAGGAGCUCGUAGGCGGUCUGUCGCGUCGAUCGUGAAACUUGGGGACUUGACCCUGACGCUUGCGGUCGAUACGGGCAUGACUGGAGUUCGGCAGGGGAGACGUGGAAUUCCAUGUGGUAGCGGUGAAAUGCGCAGAUAUCAGGAGGAACACCGGUGGCGAAGGCGGGUCUCUGGGCCGAUACUGACGCUGAGGAGCGAAGCGUGGGGAGCGAACAGG
This 256-nucleotide ribosomal RNA is filed under the name uncultured bacterium. Its description in RNAcentral is "partial 16S ribosomal RNA". It matches the Rfam family "Bacterial small subunit ribosomal RNA", at positions 527 to 776 of the family's 1533-position model. The record is from RNAcentral.